This 1065-nucleotide long non-coding RNA is filed under the name Papio anubis (olive baboon). Its description in RNAcentral is "lncRNA (ENSPANG00000050928.1)". Lineage: Eukaryota; Metazoa; Chordata; Mammalia; Primates; Cercopithecidae. The record is from RNAcentral.
AUGCACAGAAAAAUGGACACGCUGGCCGGAAGACACGCGCGCCCGCUUGUGACGAAGGGACAUUUGGUGUGGAGAAAAAAAACCCACAGACACCCAGCGAGCGCCCAGCCACCUCUGGACGCUCUCAACUUUCCCAAGCUGAGCGCCAUCCAUCCUCUCCCCGCCACCUCCGCGACGCCCUACCUGUCGCCCGCCCGCCUGCCCGGCACCCCCCCACUGCCCCUGGGCUCGGGGAGACGGACCGGGCGCCCCUCGCCGCCUCUGCCUCGGGCCCCCCGCGCUGCUCGGCGCGCCGCAGCUCCCUCGUCCCACCCCCGGGCCGCCUCGCUCCCGCCACAAAGGCAGCGAGUAGAGCCCGGUGACAGGCCUUCGGCCUCUGGGCGCGGACAGCACGGCCGGGUCCCUUCGGUGGGCGACGCGAGGCUGCAGGGAGGGCGGGCGCGGCCCCCAGGCUGGCACUGGCGCUCCCUCGCCACCCGCACGCGCUCCGCUCACACCCCCGCUGCGCUUCCCAUCCCUCCGGAAAAGUCCGCCGCGGCGCUUCCCCGCGCGGCCAGGGCGUCCAGCCCGCCAAAGGGCAGCUCCUGCCGGUCACAGGCGAGCUCCCGCGCCCGGUUCGCGACCUCUCACCCCCCGCCCGCGCCCCGGAGUCCCCGCGGCCGCUCACCUGGCCCUGGCGGCGCGCGAGGGCAGAGGACUGGGGGUGGCCCUCGGCUCGGCCGGGCUGGUCUCCCCACCCCCAGUGCCGUUCCCUGCGCCGCGCUGCGCUGCGCUCCGCUCCGCUCCGCUGCUCCGGUCGCCCGCCUCCGAGGUGCUAGCGCCGCCGGCGGCUGGCGUCUCUCUGGCAGGCGCGCGGUCCGCGCGCUCAGUUCCCCGGGGCGGAGCGAGGCGGCGGCCGCCGCAGCCGGAGGCGGAUUCCUCAGCACGCCCUGGGGCCCCGGGCCCCUGCUCGUCGGGAGCCUCCCGGGACCACGGGGACGGCUCCACCCCAGGGCAGCGGCGUCCAGCUGGCCCUGGGCCUUGACUGCGGGGAAAAUGUUCUCGAGAGAUGCUACGUCCCGGUAG